CUUUGUGAAAGGACUGACAGUUGGUGGGAGCAGAGCUCUGUGCAUACCUUCAAGACCAAUCUAGGCCUGAAGCCUGCUAAACCGCUGCCAUGGCUUCCUGGACCAUAGGAGUGCUAAUCGGAUGGCGAGGAGCCAGUCAUGAUUUUGGUGGGACUCUCCUCCAAUUCAGAAGAAAAAAAAGGUGACAUUUAUGCAAAUUAUAUACAAAAGAGGCUGUUUUCAGGUGUUCACAAGGUGGGGCUUUAAUGCCACUGUUUUGACAAUGGCAAUUAUGCGCAUGACCUGUCAAACAUGACGUUAUGGCAUGCCCAUGUAUGGCUGCCAAUGGAACCAGGUCACUGAUGUUUGUUAAUGAUGUCAUAUUAAAAAAAUGAUAGAACACCGCUUCAUAAUACAGUCAAUACAAUACGAUGGCUUAGUUAGUCAUCUGGUUUCAAUCUGAUUCCUAAAGACAGAAAGCAGAAAAACUCACAAACAAACAGCAAAUAAACAGCUGCCCACAUUUAGGAGGA
This is a long non-coding RNA of Hyla sarda, 512 nucleotides long. RefSeq lists it as uncharacterized. The transcript has 3 exons. The record is from RefSeq and is a predicted model, not a curated record. NCBI's taxonomy places the organism in Eukaryota, Metazoa, Chordata, Amphibia, Anura, Hylidae.